GAGAUGCAUUCAUAUAAACUCCUACUCCAAUUGUAUCGCGAUUUGUUUGGCUUCUCAACCUAUUUGAAUCGAUAACAUAUUUGAAUCGAUGUUCGACCGGCUCGCGGUUAAUCGUUACUUCCCUAAUCCUUAUCAAAUUCUGUGCU
Molecule: long non-coding RNA, 146 nt
Organism: Sinocyclocheilus grahami
Lineage: Eukaryota; Metazoa; Chordata; Actinopteri; Cypriniformes; Cyprinidae
Exons: 3
Source: RefSeq, a predicted model, not a curated record